UGCCGCAAAAAGUGUGGUGAGGCCGACAUGGGAUAUGGGACAUCCAUAAAGGAGUAAAGACCAGAGGAGUCAAAUGUUUCUCAGAGGCUGAUAAUCAUUGUUAUGUGUUUAUGGUAACGCGUUAUUAGAAAUUUUUGGUUGCACAUCUGAACGGCUAGGGAUACUCCUAUUCGGCGAUCCAGUUGAAGAUGAAGCAACUUCCCAUGGCCCAGUAUAG
RNAcentral lists this unclassified non-coding RNA (217 nucleotides) under Hevea brasiliensis (rubber tree). The record is from RNAcentral. Lineage: Eukaryota; Viridiplantae; Streptophyta; Magnoliopsida; Malpighiales; Euphorbiaceae.